UUAAGCGACUAAGCGUACACGGUGGAUGCCCUGGCAGUCAGAGGCGAUGAAGGACGUGCUAAUCUGCGAUAAGCGUCGGUAAGGUGAUAUGAACCGUUAUAACCGGCGAUUUCCGAAUGGGGAAACCCAGUGUGAUUCGUCACACUAUCAUUAACUGAAUCCAUAGGUUAAUGAGGCGAACCGGGGGAACUGAAACAUCUAAGUACCCCGAGGAAAAGAAAUCAACCGAGAUUCCCCCAGUAGCGGCGAGCGAACGGGGAGCAGCCCAGAGCCUGAAUCAGUGUGUGUGUUAGUGGAAGCGUCUGGAAAGGCGCGCGAUACAGGGUGACAGCCCCGUACACAAAAAUGCACAUACUGUGAGCUCGAUGAGUAGGGCGGGACACGUGGUAUCCUGUCUGAAUAUGGGGGGACCAUCCUCCAAGGCUAAAUACUCCUGACUGACCGAUAGUGAACCAGUACCGUGAGGGAAAGGCGAAAAGAACCCCGGCGAGGGGAGUGAAAAAGAACCUGAAACCGUGUACGUACAAGCAGUGGGAGCACGCUUAGGCGUGUGACUGCGUACCUUUUGUAUAAUGGGUCAGCGACUUAUAUUCUGUAGCAAGGUUAACCGAAUAGGGGAGCCGAAGGGAAACCGAGUCUUAACUGGGCGUUAAGUUGCAGGGUAUAGACCCGAAACCCGGUGAUCUAGCCAUGGGCAGGUUGAAGGUUGGGUAACACUAACUGGAGGACCGAACCGACUAAUGUUGAAAAAUUAGCGGAUGACUUGUGGCUGGGGGUGAAAGGCCAAUCAAACCGGGAGAUAGCUGGUUCUCCCCGAAAGCUAUUUAGGUAGCGCCUCGUGAAUUCAUCUCCGGGGGUAGAGCACUGUUUCGGCAAGGGGGUCAUCCCGACUUACCAACCCGAUGCAAACUGCGAAUACCGGAGAAUGUUAUCACGGGAGACACACGGCGGGUGCUAACGUCCGUCGUGAAGAGGGAAACAACCCAGACCGCCAGCUAAGGUCCCAAAGUCAUGGUUAAGUGGGAAACGAUGUGGGAAGGCCCAGACAGCCAGGAUGUUGGCUUAGAAGCAGCCAUCAUUUAAAGAAAGCGUAAUAGCUCACUGGUCGAGUCGGCCUGCGCGGAAGAUGUAACGGGGCUAAACCAUGCACCGAAGCUGCGGCAGCGACGCUGAUGCGUUGUUGGGUAGGGGAGCGUUCUGUAAGCCUGCGAAGGUGUGCUGUGAGGCAUGCUGGAGGUAUCAGAAGUGCGAAUGCUGACAUAAGUAACGAUAAAGCGGGUGAAAAGCCCGCUCGCCGGAAGACCAAGGGUUCCUGUCCAACGUUAAUCGGGGCAGGGUGAGUCGACCCCUAAGGCGAGGCCGAAAGGCGUAGUCGAUGGGAAACAGGUUAAUAUUCCUGUACUUGGUGUUACUGCGAAGGGGGGACGGAGAAGGCUAUGUUGGCCGGGCGACGGUUGUCCCGGUUUAAGCGUGUAGGCUGGUUUUCCAGGCAAAUCCGGAAAAUCAAGGCUGAGGCGUGAUGACGAGGCACUACGGUGCUGAAGCAACAAAUGCCCUGCUUCCAGGAAAAGCCUCUAAGCAUCAGGUAACAUCAAAUCGUACCCCAAACCGACACAGGUGGUCAGGUAGAGAAUACCAAGGCGCUUGAGAGAACUCGGGUGAAGGAACUAGGCAAAAUGGUGCCGUAACUUCGGGAGAAGGCACGCUGAUAUGUAGGUGAAGCGACUUGCUCGUGGAGCUGAAAUCAGUCGAAGAUACCAGCUGGCUGCAACUGUUUAUUAAAAACACAGCACUGUGCAAACACGAAAGUGGACGUAUACGGUGUGACGCCUGCCCGGUGCCGGAAGGUUAAUUGAUGGGGUCAGCGCAAGCGAAGCUCUUGAUCGAAGCCCCGGUAAACGGCGGCCGUAACUAUAACGGUCCUAAGGUAGCGAAAUUCCUUGUCGGGUAAGUUCCGACCUGCACGAAUGGCGUAAUGAUGGCCAGGCUGUCUCCACCCGAGACUCAGUGAAAUUGAACUCGCUGUGAAGAUGCAGUGUACCCGCGGCAAGACGGAAAGACCCCGUGAACCUUUACUAUAGCUUGACACUGAACAUUGAGCCUUGAUGUGUAGGAUAGGUGGGAGGCUUUGAAGUGUGGACGCCAGUCUGCAUGGAGCCGACCUUGAAAUACCACCCUUUAAUGUUUGAUGUUCUAACGUUGACCCGUGAUCCGGGUUGCGGACAGUGUCUGGUGGGUAGUUUGACUGGGGCGGUCUCCUCCUAAAGAGUAACGGAGGAGCACGAAGGUUGGCUAAUCCUGGUCGGACAUCAGGAGGUUAGUGCAAUGGCAUAAGCCAGCUUGACUGCGAGCGUGACGGCGCGAGCAGGUGCGAAAGCAGGUCAUAGUGAUCCGGUGGUUCUGAAUGGAAGGGCCAUCGCUCAACGGAUAAAAGGUACUCCGGGGAUAACAGGCUGAUACCGCCCAAGAGUUCAUAUCGACGGCGGUGUUUGGCACCUCGAUGUCGGCUCAUCACAUCCUGGGGCUGAAGUAGGUCCCAAGGGUAUGGCUGUUCGCCAUUUAAAGUGGUACGCGAGCUGGGUUUAGAACGUCGUGAGACAGUUCGGUCCCUAUCUGCCGUGGGCGCUGGAGAACUGAGGGGGGCUGCUCCUAGUACGAGAGGACCGGAGUGGACGCAUCACUGGUGUUCGGGUUGUCAUGCCAAUGGCACUGCCCGGUAGCUAAAUGCGGAAGAGAUAAGUGCUGAAAGCAUCUAAGCACGAAACUUGCCCCGAGAUGAGUUCUCCCUGACUCCUUGAGAGUCCUGAAGGAACGUUGAAGACGACGACGUUGAUAGGCCGGGUGUGUAAGCGCAGCGAUGCGUUGAGCUAACCGGUACUAAUGAACCGUGAGGCUUAACCU
RNAcentral lists this ribosomal RNA (2901 nucleotides) under Escherichia coli. RNAcentral's name for it is "23S ribosomal RNA". It matches the Rfam family "Bacterial large subunit ribosomal RNA". Lineage: Bacteria; Pseudomonadati; Pseudomonadota; Gammaproteobacteria; Enterobacterales; Enterobacteriaceae. The record is from RNAcentral.